RNAcentral lists this ribosomal RNA (546 nucleotides) under uncultured bacterium. RNAcentral describes it as "bacterial SSU rRNA". It matches the Rfam family "Bacterial small subunit ribosomal RNA", at positions 356 to 896 of the family's 1533-position model. The record is from RNAcentral.
GGGGAAUAUUGCGCAAUGGGGGCAACCCUGACGCAGCCAUGCCGCGUGAAUGAAGAAGGCCUUCGGGUUGUAAAGUUCUUUCGGUAGCGAGGAAGGCAUUUAGUUUAAUAGACUAGGUGAUUGACGUUAACUACAGAAGAAGCACCGGCUAACUCCGUGCCAGCAGCCGCGGUAAUACGGAGGGUGCGAGCGUUAAUCGGAAUAACUGGGCGUAAAGGGCACGCAGGCGGUGACUUAGGUGAGGUGUGAAAGCCCCGGGCUUAACCUGGGAAUUGCAUUUCAUACUGGGUCGCUAGAGUACUUUAGGGAGGGGUAGAAUUCCACGUGUAGCGGUGAAAUGCGUAGAGAUGUGGAGGAAUACCGAAGGCGAAGGCAGCCCCUUGGGAAUGUACUGACGCUCAUGUGCGAAAGCGUGGGGAGCAAACAGGAUUAGAUACCCUGGUAGUCCACGCUGUAAACGAUGUCGACUUGGGGGUUGAACUUUAAGUUUGGCGCCCGUAGCUAACGUGAUAAAUCGACCGCCUGGGGAGUACGGCCGCAAGGUUA